AGCGGCGGACGGGUGAGUAACGCGUGGGUAACCUGCCUCAUACAGGGGGAUAACAGUUGGAAACGGCUGCUAAUACCGCAUAAGCGCACAGUACCGCAUGGUACGGUGUGAAAAACUCCGGUGGUAUGAGAUGGACCCGCGUCUGAUUAGCUAGUUGGUAAGGUAACGGCUUACCAAGGCGACGAUCAGUAGCCGACCUGAGAGGGUGACCGGCCACAUUGGGACUGAGACACGGCCCAA
Molecule: ribosomal RNA, 240 nt
Filed under: uncultured bacterium
Lineage: Bacteria
Description: partial 16S ribosomal RNA
Rfam family: Bacterial small subunit ribosomal RNA
Source: RNAcentral